RNAcentral lists this unclassified non-coding RNA (365 nucleotides) under Hevea brasiliensis (rubber tree). The record is from RNAcentral. Lineage: Eukaryota; Viridiplantae; Streptophyta; Magnoliopsida; Malpighiales; Euphorbiaceae.
UCUCACUGAAAUUUGAAUAUCCAGUUGCCCAUAUUCCCUCCAUAUCUAACUUCAAAUUCUCAUCUCUACACCACACAAACUCUUCUCUCAAUUCACUCUCCUCCUCCCCAUGCAUUUCCUCGAACCCAUAUGGCUUCUCCGGGGACAUUGUCACAUCCACGCUUUUCUCCGGCGGCACCCCAAAAAUCCCAGCAGCCAUGGCCACCACCAAUCUUGUAAAAUCACAUGGAAUUCCAUAAUUAACCAACUGAAAGCACCCGAUUCUUGACAGGGAAUCCAAAAUCCUAGGAAUUGAAUCACUGUCCGCAGAAUGCAACGAUUGGAAAUCAAUUCUUGGCGGCGUUUCAACAAUCUUUUGCCUAGGG